Molecule: long non-coding RNA, 486 nt
Organism: Centruroides sculpturatus (bark scorpion)
Lineage: Eukaryota; Metazoa; Arthropoda; Arachnida; Scorpiones; Buthidae
Exons: 3
Source: RefSeq, a predicted model, not a curated record
UAGAAAGAAAAAUUUCAGAAGAGAAGAAAAAAGAAAGUUGUACGCAGUUGAGAAAUAUUAUUACUCUAUCUUCGCAUCUCAUUUUACUCUAUUCAUCUAGAGCUACUAAAUAUCACUAUAAUUACCAUGUCCGGCAUGCCAUCACCAUUAUAGUCAGAUAACAAUAGUUAUGGAUGACCUUGAUUAUGCUGCAUUCCAUUCCGAUAAGGCACAAGUAAGGUCAUAUAAAGGUUAAAGAAGAUACUGCUAGAAUGAUCUUCAAUAUUUAAGAUGAAUAAGAAGCAUGUAUUGACAAACAGUACGUCUGACUAAUGCACAACUUGAUUGAUCGGCUAAAUUUGUACAAUUAUUCUGUCUUUCUUAUAAAAUUAAUGUCUGUAUAUAUUCAGCCGGACGAAGGAAAAAUAAAAAGGUAAAAAAAAAUAAUAAUAAGUUUUUGUUCGGUUUGUUUUCUCUUCCUCCCUCCCUCCAUUUUUUUUUUGUUUA